Long non-coding RNA from Humulus lupulus (European hop), 191 nucleotides. RefSeq lists it as uncharacterized. The record is from RefSeq and is a predicted model, not a curated record. NCBI's taxonomy places the organism in Eukaryota, Viridiplantae, Streptophyta, Magnoliopsida, Rosales, Cannabaceae. The transcript is spliced from 2 exons.
CUUUUAAUGGAAUUAGGCACAUCUUUCACAGGUUUGCAACUGGAGUGGACACAUAAAGCUUAUUCAGAUGGUUUGUACUAUUCCAAUAGGAACAUUGGAUGCUACAAAGCUUCUAUGUUUGUAUGUUGUAUUAUUGGAUGGAUCUUGGUCUUAUUUCUAAUAUAUGAUUUUAUUAUUGAUAUUUAUUAAAA